UACGUAGGGUGCGAGCGUUAAUCGGAAUUACUGGGCGUAAAGCGUGCGCAGGCGGUUUUGUAAGCCAGAUGUGAAAUCCCCGGGCUUAACCUGGGAAUGGCAUUUGGGACUGCAAAGCUGGAGUGCGGCAGGGGGGACUGGAAUUCCUGGUGUAGCAGUGAAAUGCGUAGAGAUCAGGAGGAAUACCGAUGGCGAAGGCAGGUCCCUGGGUUGACACUGACGCUCAUGCACGAAAGCGUGGGGAGCAAACAGG
This 253-nucleotide ribosomal RNA is filed under the name uncultured bacterium. Its description in RNAcentral is "partial 16S ribosomal RNA". It matches the Rfam family "Bacterial small subunit ribosomal RNA", at positions 524 to 776 of the family's 1533-position model. The record is from RNAcentral.